AAGUCUGCUAAGAGGCAAUUGGACUAAAUAAAAUAUGACCAGUCUCUGCCCUUGAGGACCAGCUUUUGAAAAACACCCCUACCGACCUGAAAGGAAUACACAGGAGAGAGGAAACCCAUUCCACCCCCAGGGAGCAUUCUGGCUAACGGAGAAGGUUGUACAAACUGGCGCCUCAGCAUCCCUCCAGGAAGAAAGCCACAGCUGCCCCACCCUCACCGGGCCCAUGCCUGCUGCCUCAAGGUGUCCCCCUACCAGCUUUAAUCUGGAUGGGGAUCAUGUCCCCCUCCUCGUGGGUUGUCCCCUGUGCUGCUGUCCCACUGGGUCCUAGACAGCCUGCUCUGCACCCUCCCCCCCUGUGCCAUCCCUCUCUCUCUCCCUCCCCUGCUACCUCUCUCUUCUCUGCUGUUUAUUAAAAUAAAAACAUGCAUUAGCUC
This is a long non-coding RNA of Neofelis nebulosa (Clouded leopard), 434 nucleotides long. RefSeq lists it as uncharacterized. The transcript has 2 exons. The record is from RefSeq and is a predicted model, not a curated record. NCBI's taxonomy places the organism in Eukaryota, Metazoa, Chordata, Mammalia, Carnivora, Felidae.